RNAcentral lists this ribosomal RNA (253 nucleotides) under uncultured bacterium. RNAcentral describes it as "partial 16S ribosomal RNA". It matches the Rfam family "Bacterial small subunit ribosomal RNA", at positions 524 to 776 of the family's 1533-position model. The record is from RNAcentral.
UACAGAGGGGGCGAGCGUUAAUCGGAAUUACUGGGCGUAAAGCGCACGUAGGCGGCUUGGUAUGUCGGGGGUGAAAUCCCCGGGCUCAACCUGGGAACUGCAUCCGAAACUGCCUUGCUAGAGUAUGGGAGAGGGAAGUGGAAUUUCCGGUGUAGCGGUGAAAUGCGUAGAUAUCGGAAGGAACAUCAGUGGCGAAGGCGACUUCCUGGACCAAUACUGACGCUCAUGUGCGAAAGCGUGGGGAGCAAACAGG